Molecule: unclassified non-coding RNA, 703 nt
Filed under: Viscum combreticola
Lineage: Eukaryota; Viridiplantae; Streptophyta; Magnoliopsida; Santalales; Viscaceae
Description: sequence contains ITS1, 5.8S rRNA gene, ITS2
Rfam family: 5.8S ribosomal RNA (bases 285-444)
Source: RNAcentral
UUUCCGUAGGUGAACCUGCGGAAGGAUCAUUGUCGAAAGCUUGCACAGUGUCGGUGGACAUGUGAACUUGUCGGAACAUUUACACGGGGGUGCACUUGGAGCUACUCUGUCUCUCCCCAUGGUCAAUGGGUAUGUGGCCGAGAGUCCAUGUGUGCCCCCUUAUAACCCUCAAAUCAGCACGACACGUGCCAAGGAAAGCUCAAUAUGAAAUUCAAUCCUAGGGCCCUCGCAUGAUGCAUGCAUGGGUUUGAGGAGGAGACAUGUGAAAUAGUUGGAGAUAAAAUGACUCUCGGCAAUGGAUAUCUCGGCUCUCGUAUCGAUGAAGAACGCAGCAAAAUGUGAUACUUGGUGUGAAUUGCAGAAUCUCGUGAGUCAUUGAGUUUUUGAAUGCAAGUUGCGCCUGAAGCCAUUUUCUUGGUCAAGGGCACACGUGCCUGGGUGUCAUGCAUGGAGUUUUCCUGGGACCUUCUCCUCUACGAGUCCCAUCUCUUGGUUGGUUUUUGUUGGGGGUGCAAGGGGUGAGGGACCUCUCGGGUGUUCGUUGGCCUCCCGUUCCUUAUUGUGCGGUUGGUUAAAAUUUGGGGUCCUUGGUGGCAUGCGUCGUUGAUGAGUUAUCGUAAACAAUGUUUGUCUCGUGUUUGCAGGUGAGCCCCCAUGUCCCAUGGCUUCCUUGACACUAAGAUGGAGUUUCCAUUUCGACCCC